RNAcentral lists this ribosomal RNA (467 nucleotides) under uncultured bacterium. RNAcentral's name for it is "partial 16S ribosomal RNA". It matches the Rfam family "Bacterial small subunit ribosomal RNA", at positions 28 to 506 of the family's 1533-position model. The record is from RNAcentral.
GACGAACGCUGGCGGCGUGCUUAACACAUGCAAGUCGAACGGAAAGGCCCUGCUUUUGUGGGGUGCUCGAGUGGCGAACGGGUGAGUAACACGUGAGUAACCUGCCCUUGACUUUGGGAUAACUUCAGGAAACUGGGGCUAAUACCGGAUAGGAGCUCCUGCUGCAUGGUGGGGGUUGGAAAGUUUCGGCGGUUGGGGAUGGACUCGCGGCUUAUCAGCUUGUUGGUGGGGUAGUGGCUUACCAAGGCUUUGACGGGUAGCCGGCCUGAGAGGGUGACCGGCCACAUUGGGAAGGGGAUACGGCCCAGCCCCCUAGGGGGGGCAGGAGGGGGGAAUAUUGCACAAGGGGGGGAAGCCUGAUGCAGCAACGCCGGGGGCGGGAUGAGGGCCUUCGGGUUGUAAACCGCUUUCGCCUGUGACGAAGCGUGAGUGACGGUAAUGGGGAAAGAAGCACCGGCUAACUACGU